Molecule: long non-coding RNA, 250 nt
Filed under: Trifolium pratense (red clover)
Lineage: Eukaryota; Viridiplantae; Streptophyta; Magnoliopsida; Fabales; Fabaceae
Description: long non-coding RNA (TPRA_LNC007824)
Source: RNAcentral
UCUUGAGUUCGCGUCUUGGUACGGUGUCCGGUUUAAUUCUGUUGUAGUACAAUGUUUGUUUUGUUCAGAUUUGCAGAUUUGCUCCGAUUUAGAUUCAGUGCAGAUUCACACGUACUCUACUUACUUGAAUAAAUGAAUAUUGUUUGUUGUUAGUCUAAAAAAAAAGAAAAACAUAGGUCCCGUAGAAUUCACACGAAAGAUUAUGUCCCCAUAUUAAUAUAUGACUAUAACUCGUAAAAUUAUAAAAAAA